GUUAAUUAUAUAUUUAAUUUUUUUGCUCGUAUAUAUAAAAAGCCGAACUAAAUUUUGUAAAUUUCAUUCUAUCUUCAACUUUCUUGAAAAUUCCUUUAUUGAAAUACUAAUUAAAUUUCUGCAUAUAAAAUGGCAAGUUUCAAAUCUUGUUUAUUGGUGGUGUUCUUGGCAACCAUAUUAAUGUUAAUGGUACCUUCUAUUAAUGCCUGUGAACCUAACGGUACUCCAUGUCAACCCGAUGGAAGUACAGAUUGUUGUACAAAAUUUUGUUAUAAACAAGUAGGAUGGGCAAUUGGAUAUUGUAAAUAGAGAAUUAUUUUUAAUUACGGUUAUUAAUAAUAACAACAAUUAAAAAUUACAUUUUUCUUCACAUGUAAAUUUUGAUGUAAAAGAAAUAAAAAUUUGUUAAUUUCAA
Molecule: long non-coding RNA, 415 nt
Organism: Leptopilina boulardi
Lineage: Eukaryota; Metazoa; Arthropoda; Insecta; Hymenoptera; Figitidae
Exons: 2
Source: RefSeq, a predicted model, not a curated record